This 842-nucleotide ribosomal RNA is filed under the name uncultured Chloroflexota bacterium. RNAcentral's name for it is "bacterial SSU rRNA". It matches the Rfam family "Bacterial small subunit ribosomal RNA", at positions 28 to 895 of the family's 1533-position model. The record is from RNAcentral. Lineage: Bacteria; Bacillati; Chloroflexota.
GAUAAACGCUGGCGGCGUGCUUUAUGCAUGCAAGUCGAACGGUCUCGAUUUAUCGAGAUAGUGGCGAAUGGGUGAGUAACACGUAAGUAACCUGCCCUUAAGUAGGGGAUAACUCCGAGAAAUUGGAGCUAAUACCGUAGUGGUGGUGGGGGUAAAGCUCCAUCACUAAAGCCUUCGGGUGCUUGGGGAGGGGCUUGCGUCCGAUUAGCUAGUUGGUGAGGUAACGGCCCACCAAGGCUGAGAUCGGUAGCUGGUUUAAGAGGACGAUCAGCCACACUGGGACUGAGACACGGCCCAGACUCCUACGGGAGGCAGCAGCAAGGAAUAUUGUGCAAUGGGCGAAAGCCUGACACAGCGACGCCGCGUGGGGGAUUAAGGCCCUUGGGUUGUAAACCCCUUUUCCCAGGGAAGAAUAAUGACGGUACCUGGGGAAUAAGUCUUGGCUAACUACGUGCCAGCAGCCGCGGUAAUACGUAGAAGGCGAGCGUUAUCCGGAUUUAUUGGGCGUAAAGAGGGCGUAGGUGGCUUUUCAAGUCGGAUGUAAAAUCUCCCGGCUUAACUGGGAGGGACCGUUCGAUACUGUUGGGCUAGAGUGCAGCAGAGGGAGAUGGAAUUCCCGGUGUAGUGGUGAAAUGCGUAGAUAUCGGGAGGAACACCAGUGGCGAAGGCGGUCUCCUGGGCUGUUACUGACACUGAGGCCCGAAGGCGUGGGGAGCGAACAGGAUUAGAUACCCUGGUAGUCCACGCAGUAAACGAUGGACACUAGGUAUAGGGAGUAUCGACCCUCUCUGUGCCGAAGCUAACGCUUUAAGUGUCCCGCCUGGGAACACGGUCGCAAGACU